AACGAACGCUGGCGGCAUGCCUAACACAUGCAAGUCGAACGAAACCUUCGGGUCUAGUGGCGCACGGGUGCGUAACGCGUGGGAACCUGCCCUUAGGUUCGGAAUAACUCUCCGAAAGGGGUGCUAAUACCGGACAAUGUCUUCGGACCAAAGAUUUAUCGCAUUUGGAUGGGCACGAGUUGGAUUAGCUAGUUGGUAGGGUAAAAGGCUACCAAGGCGCCGAUCCAUAGCUGGUCUGAGAGAAUGGUCAGCCACACUGGGACUGAGACACGGCCGGGACUCCUACGGAAUGGGGGAGAGGGGAAUAGUGCACCAUGGGGGAAAGGCUGAUAGAGCUAGGCCGGGUGAGUGAUGUAAGCGUUAGGGUAGAAAAGCUUUUUUAACCGUGAUGGUAAUGACAGUACCGGGACAAUAAGCUCCGGCUAACUCCGUG
RNAcentral lists this ribosomal RNA (433 nucleotides) under uncultured bacterium. RNAcentral describes it as "partial 16S ribosomal RNA". It matches the Rfam family "Bacterial small subunit ribosomal RNA", at positions 29 to 507 of the family's 1533-position model. The record is from RNAcentral.